RNAcentral lists this long non-coding RNA (315 nucleotides) under Elaeis guineensis (African oil palm). Its description in RNAcentral is "long non-coding RNA (EGUI_LNC072794)". The record is from RNAcentral. Lineage: Eukaryota; Viridiplantae; Streptophyta; Magnoliopsida; Arecales; Arecaceae.
UUCUUGUUGAGGCAGAGAACUGACUUGAGCAUCGGAGGGUCUUGCCGGAGCAACCCCACCUCCAGUUUAGACUUCUUUUGCAGGUCCCGACGAUGACCGCGACUCCAGCUUCUCCGACGCAAGCGGAUUUUUGCACCAACAGGAUUGGUGCUAGAAGAAGGGCUGAACCUUCGCAGUACCUUUGUUCUUAAAGGAGCACUCAAUGGGAUUACCCCCGGGCAUCUUUUCCGACGCCCUCCCCUCCUUCCUCCACUUGGUCUUUGCCCGAUGCCUCCCUAUAAGGCAUCCACACGGCGAUCCACGACCUCCGCGGCC